UCCUGUAUCCUCUGGAUAAAUUCUAUAAAAUUCUAUAAAAAUUCUAUAAAGUUCUAUUUUUAAUUUUUUGAGGAACUGUUUUCCAGAGUAGCUGCACUCAUUUGCAUUCCCACCAGCAAUGCAAAAGAGAACCUCUUUUUCCGUAUCCUCACCAACACCUGUUGUUGCCUGAGUUGUUAAUUUUAGCCAUUUUGACAGUUGUGAGGUGGUAUCUCAUUGUGGUUUUGAUUUGUAUUUCCCUGAUGAUAAGUGAUGUAGUGAUGUUGAGCAUUUUUCACGAGUCUGCUAACAAUCUGGAUGCUUUCUUUGGAAAAGUGUCUAUUCAUGUCUUUUUGCCCAUUUCUUCACUGAAGUCCCAAUUUUUAAAUGUUGGCAACCAACAUUGUUGAGCCAGUGGCUCAGUUGGUUGAGCAUCCUACUCUUGGUUUCCACUUAGGUCAUGAUCCCAGGGUUGUGGGAUCAAGCACCAUGGUGCUUAAGAUUCAUUCUCUCCCUCCCUCCCUGCCUCCCUCUCCCUCUCUCUCUCUCUCUCUCUCUCUCUGUGCCUGGGUGGUUCAGUAGGUUAAGCAUCUGACUCUUGAUUUGGGCUCAGGUUAGGAUCUUGCAGUUUGUGGGUUUGAGGCCUGUGUCGGGCUCUGUGCUGAUAGUUUGGAAUCUGGAGUCUGCUUCAGAUUCUGUCUCCCUCUUCCUUCUCUACCCCUCUCCACUUGUGUGUGCGUGUGUGCUCUCUCUCAAAAAUAAACAUUAAAAAAACAAAAACUAUGGAAAAAAAAAGCCUCUUUCUCUCCCUGUUUGCCCCUCUCCCCAGCUCCUGCUCUCUUUUUAAAAUUUUUUAAUGUUUAUUUAUUUUUAGAGAGAAUGAGAGACAGAGCAUGAACAGGGGAGGGGCAGAGAGAGGGAGACACAGAGUCAGAAGCAGGCUCCAGGUUCCAAGCUGUCAGCACAGAGCCUGACGUGGGGCUCGAACUCACAAAUCACGAGAUCAUGACCUGGGCCGAAGUCGGACCCUUAACUGAGCCACCCAGGCGCCCCAAGUCUAUUUCUUUUCUUUAUCUUAUCUUUAAGCAUGUACACUAAACUUAUUAAAAUAUAAAGGUAAUCAUGAUCAUUACCAUCCUCUGGAACAAUACAAGGACUUUAGAACAUGUUAAUAUCAACAAAAUUAGUCCUGGUUAUAUGCUAUUGGUAUACAAUAUUUUAGUUCUCUGCUUCUUAGACCUUCCCUAUCUGACCAGUUUGCUUCUAUCUGAAAACUGUAGAACUCUCUCAAGUGACGGUUAAGUGGCAAACUCUCUAGUUUUUAUCUUUAUCUUUACUGUUUCUUCAAGUUUUAUUGAUGCAAAACGUAUAACUAAAAUGAAUAGAUCUUAAGUGCACAACUGGUGAAGUUUUAUAAAUGUAUUCUUACCCCUAGCUGCACAUGCAUAUGCCAGUGUAAUUAUCUCAGUGAAGACAAAGACCAUCUUCGUCACCCCACAAAAUUCCCUUCCAGGCAAUCCCACCCUUCUGCCAAAGAUGACCACUGUUCUGUUGUCUAUCACCAAUAGAUGAGUUUUGCCUGUUCUCAAACUUCACAUAAAGGGAUUCAUACACUAGGUCUGCUUUGUGUUAAGCUUUUUUCACUUAAUAUAAUUUUUUUUCACAUUUAUACAUGUUGCUAAGUUACACAUGUACAUCUAUCAGUAGUGUUUUUUAAUUGUUAAGGAGUUUGAAGAUACCAUAAUUUGUUUAUCCAUACUCUUGUUUACAGAAAUACAGGUUGCUUCCAAUUUUUAUCUACUAUGAAUUAAAACUAUGGUUAAAAAUCCUUGUAUAAGUUUUUUUGAGGAAUGAUGUUUCCAUUUUUCUUAGGUAAAUAUGUAGGAGAAUUGCUGGAUAUGAUAAUUGCAUGUUCAAUUUUGUAAGAAACUACAAAACUGUUGUUCUUUCUUACACCACCAUCAGAAUUGUGUUUGAGAUCCAACUGUUCUAUGUCCUAACAAACACUUGGUAGUCUUAAUUUUAGCUAUUCCAGAAGGUGUGAAUUAUGAUUUUAAUUUGCAUCAAAACUGCAUUUAUGCUUGAUCAGUUGUAAACUUUUUCAUAUACUUGUAUACUUUAUUUGUUAAGUGUUUAAGUCUUUUGCCUACUUUCUUAUUGGGUUGUCUUUAUUAUUGAUUUGUAAGAGUUGUUUAUAUAUUCUGAAUACGAAGACUUUGUUAGGUAUAUGUACCAAUGAUAUUUUCUCCGAUUCUAAUGGAUAGAAGUUUUAAAUUUUGAUGAAAUCUAAUUAAUCUCAGUUUUCAUAGGGAGUACAGCCUUUGGAGGGUUCCAGCUUUCCUUGAGGGGGUGUCUUAUCAGACUUGGUUUUUUGUUUAAAAAUGUUUAUUUAUUUUUGAGACAGAGAGAGAGACAGACGGACAGACAGACUGAGAGAGGCAGAGGGGCAGAGAGAGAAGGAGACACAGAAUCCAAAGCAGGCUCCAGGCUCCGAGUUGUCAGCGCAGAGCCCGAUGUGGGGCUCGAACCCACAAACCAUGAGGUCAUGACCUGAGCCAUAGUUGGACGCUUAACCAACUGAGCCACGCAGGCGCCCCAAGACUUGUAAUUUCUUCAGGAUCUGAGCUUUGUCCUGUCACAAGGCACUUUAGUGCUCCAUUUAACUUAUUGGAUCCCUCCUACUACAAACUGAAUUAUGACUUUCUAAAAUUCAUGUGAGGUCUUAACCCGUGAUGUGACUAUAUUUGGAGAUAGAGCCUAUAAGGAGGUAAUUAAGGUUAAGUGAGGUCAUAAGGGCAUGCCCCUGAUCCAACAGUAUUAGUAACCUUCUAAAAAGAGAGCUAACAUCAGAGAGCUAACAUGUGCUCUCUCUCUGCUUAACUGAGAGGAAAAGCCUGGUGAGGUGCAGCAAGAGGCAGCAUCUGCAAGCCACGAAUAGAGUCUUUCCCUGAAACCAAACCCAGCUGGACCCUGAUCUUGGACUUCUACCCUCCAGAACUGUGAAAACAAAAUUCUGUUGUUUAAGCCACUCAGUCUAUGAUAUUUUGUUAUGGCAGCCUGAGGAAACAAAUACACUACCUUUCACAUAAGGGAGGAAGAUUUUAAAAAAAAGUUAUAACAAAUUGGGACGCUAACAUAGGAGUCAAACAUAUCUGAUGUUCCCUUAAAAGAAAAAGCAGACACAUUUCUAAGCUGGAUGAUGCAGUAAGUAUUGGCUUCAGGAUUAUGAUAAGGUCCAUUUAUUGAGAAACAUUAUAAAAACACCCUGAACCCAGCAGAACAAAAGAAGGGUAAUCUCUACACUCACAACCUUACUUAAAACUGCUACAUUUUUAGGGCCCCCAUUUUGAGAUACAUAUACCUGUAGUAUAUUUUGAAGAAGACUUUAAAGGUCUCAGCUAAUGUCUUUCCAAAUAAUUUAUUUAUGUAAUUUACUCACAGUGAGUUUCUACUCUUUUUACCUAGGGUCUUUUAAGUUUUUGUUUAAUUAAAAUCCUUUUACUACAGGAUAAUAAACUUUACAAACCUGACUUGACUUUAGUGGCUUAAACUAUUUUCCUUGUUUAGCUAUUCUUAACCACUGUUCCUUUGGCUUCACGGAAUAUAUUACUAUCUGAUGCUAGCAUCUUUAUUCCUGGCAUUCACAGGCAACCAGAAAUAUUAAAAGAAUUCAAAAUCAAUUUCGUAAAAAUGCUUUAUUGUGGACAUAAUGUUUGAUAUGGUUAUAUUUUCCUCUUCUUUGCAUGUAUUUUAAUACCAUCUUAAAGGAACAAAUAUUCCAAAAGUGAAAAUCUGAUACCUCUGUUAGUAAAAAAAAGUAUUUGUUUUGGCCGUGGGUAAAUCUACUACAAAAUAUAUUUGAGCUUUAAAUCAAAGUUAAAAUAUCUUCUGGAUACAAGGAUCUAGGUUUUAUUAAUAGCAACUGUACAUUCUGAGUUACAAUUAGCACUGAGUAGCAGAUUUCCUAUCAUUAUUUUAAAGAUUUAUCAGCUUAUGUUUUAACUACAUAAUCAUACUCUUAGGCCAAUCUUAAAAAUGUUUUUGGCAUUUAUGCUCAACUUUACUUCCUUCCUGGGCUUUGAAAAUAAUUAAAGAAUCUACUUUGUAAGCACUAACUUCCUGCCUUACACUGAGCUCCAUCAAUCUCUGCUGAAUGAAUGUUCUGAAAAAAUGAAUAAAAAUAAGAUAGAAGCCAAAACUACGGACACUGGGCUACAAAAAUACUUGCUUUUAUAAAUACAAAAGCGAACUGUAUAAAUAUUAUGCAUUUUAGGAGUGGUGGGGAAAUUGUCUUCAUGUUCUUACCUAGGAAAAUAUAAGAACAACUCCAUUAAUGUUCAAGGAAGUCAAAUAGAUUAAAAAAAAAAGGGAAGAAAAUUCAUUAAUACAAUGUAUUCAUCCUAGCUUUGUGAUUUGGGGCAAGUCAUUAAACCUGGCUUCUGGGGACAAAGGUAACUGGCCCACAUGCUACAGAGGCUUACAUAGAAGAAGUCAAGUGAGAUAUUGUAUGUGCCAGUGCUUUGGAAACUGUAAAGUGUUACUUAAGCUGUUAGGAUGAACAGGUACUGGACAGGUGCACAGUGUAGAGAAUGGGAUUGCUUUUAAAGUAGUAUUUGAGAAACAGUGAGUUGCUGGCUGAAAAAAAGGGAUGAGAGAGUAGGAAGAAUUUCAAGGUUGGGGAGGUGGUAGAGAGGGGGCUUGGAUGAUAAACCAAAAGGAGAUCUUAUUUUGUAGCAAAAAAUUUGUGAAAUUUCUGGAGUUAGCUGAGAGACAUAACGUGGCAGGUGCUUUUAUUAUUGCCAAGAUUUUGUGAUUAGAUGGUAAUAAGGAGCUUAGUAUAUAUAGAGUGUUAUGAUGGCCUCUAUAAUCCUGACUAAACACCAUGAAUAUAUCAUGUAUUCAGUUAAACAAUCUACAGAAUCUCAUGAUUUUCCUGCUUUCAGUAAAAUUGUUCUUAAAAUACUUUAAAUUCAAGUUUCAAGGUAUUUUAAACUUUAAUAUUCGGUGGUAUUGGGCGGAUGAGAUAUUAGGAGAACAUAAUAUAACUCCAGGAAGCUGACUUAAUUUUUCCAUUUUUGUAGAUCUGUAUUCUUUCCACCCUUAGAGUGGUGGAACAAGAGAACUGUCAUACCUUCGCUCCUUCUAGGUAGGCUGCCACUUAUUUUUCUUUUCAUCCACCAGGCAAUCAGACUGCCAUAGGCUGGUUGUCAGGCUCUCCCAGCCAUAGCUGGAGGUGGAGACUGGGUCUCAUUUUUUUUCUUUUCUCUUGAGGGCUUAAACCAGUUCUAGGUCUAAGCAAACACCUAAAGUAAAGGUCCCGAUACUUCCCAAAGUCCAACGAGCUCUUUCCCAAGGAUGAUGUGCUCAAUAAAUGUUACAUCAUUGACAUGAAAGGUGAGCAGUAUUUUGAACUAAUUUUGCUUUUUAGCUUUUGAUCCGACUACUGAGGUAUAAAACAACAAUUCUAAAUUUGGACAUGUUGGGCAGGUAAUGAACUGAAGGCAGAAUGUCCAAGUGCAGAUUUCCAUAAGCAAUUAGAAACACAUAACUGGAACUGCAGAGAGAGGUGUUUUAGAUACCUUUGUGUCUUUUUCCACAUCCUACUGGCCCAACUUUUGUUUCAACUCUUGCUGAGCCAACCAAUUUGUGUAUUGGGACCCACUGGGUGCUAAUGUAUGUAUAACCUCAAUGUGUUGGAGAGUUAGUCUCAAGAGGUAACCCUUGGUCAAAGGAGGAUGGGAGCCAGUACAAAUGCUUUCUUUUGUUGGUCAGUUGGGCAAUUCUGCAGUGUUUCUUUCAUCAACAAGUAGUAGUCAGAUGAGGCCCAACUUGCCUAUGGCAGUUGCUAAUAUAUUCUCCCCUUCCUUGCUCACUCUCUUUACUGCUGUGCCUUGGUAUCACUUCCCAAAGAAAACUUCCUGAGAACAAGCCCACAUCAAGGACACACCACAGGCUCUGCUUCCUGAGAGAAAUCCAGGGGCUAGAGAUGAAGAAUAAGAGACAACUAGUAAAAUGUGCGGAUAAAUGCUCGGUUGAAAGAACACUAAAACCCAGAGAACUUCCCCUAUUAAGGCUGAGAUGAGUGAAAACAGUUAGCAAAAAGGGAUAGAUUAAUUACUAGUAAGAAAUAGGAAAGUCAUGAUAAUAAUAUGUAGGCACUGAUAGGCCAAGAGAUCAGAGAGUUACCACCUAUAAGUCCUUCCAAAUUUUCAAUUCUAAUCUACCCACUAUUUAUUUUAGCCUCCUUAGAGUUCUGCCAUUAUGAUGUCAUACACUGCUUCAGAACUUUCUGGGUAUCAUCCCCCUCUCCCCAAUAUUUCUGUGAUUAAAUAUGCAGAGGAAGGGAGAGACAGAAAAAGAAGAAUGAGGUGUGAUGGAGAGAAAGGAUCACUCUUAAUAGCAAGGCAUAAAAAAACACAGAUAUUCUAUACCAUGUAACUAGUUAAUAAAUGUUAAAGUAACAUACUUCCAAUUUUCUAGUUUCCUUAGUUUGCUUUUGCCAAAUGCCUAUUCUACAUCCCCUAGAAACAUUAUCUCAAUCAUCCCUAAAAAUAGAAGCUCCAGGGCCCCUUGAAAUAUUAGAGAAAAUGGGAUCUUUGCUUAAAAGCUCAACAGAACAAACUUGCUGAAUUGACAUGAACAAUGAAAGCCAUCAAAGAAUCUCUUCAAUCAUCUUGUUAGCAUUUAUUCCCUUAUAGGGAAGCUGUCUUUCAUGAACACAAAGAACAAAAUGCAAAAAGGUAUUCUUGGAUUUUUACCUUGAAUGGUUCCAGUACCAAUUAUAUAUAUUCAAUUAAUUGUUUCUUUUUACAUGUCCCUUGGCAUAAGUAUAUUUAGAGGUGGCCAGAGUCUGUGUCUGCAUAGUUUUUUUCACUAUUGUUUCUUGAAAGGAUAUAGAAAGCAUACUGGUGAGGAAUGUCCACAGCAGCCAAUGGGGAAUAUCAGACUUCUUCCAAAAGUCAUUAGUAGUUUUAGCACACAGUUCAUAAAAUAUUCGUAUUUAUAAAAAGAAUUACAUCAUAAAAUCUCAAUGCUAAUACAAAAUCUUUGCAAAUUAUAAGGUUUAGUUUACUCUUCAAGAUUUUUUUAUUUUUAUUUUUUCAUGGAUAAACUAUUUUAUAGUUCUUUUUUCUUUUUUUUAAUUUUAUUUUUUUAACUUAAUUUUUUAUUUUUUUAAAUUUACAUCCAAUUCAAGAUGUUUUUUUAAAAGUUAGUAUUAAAACAAAAUGAUUUUAUCUUCCCCACAAGCAUCUGAUAAAACUUAAAAAAAUAUACUGAUAAGACACAAGGAUGUAGCUAUUGGCUGUUGCACCUUUUAAGCAUUUUUAUUUUUAAAAUAUUUAUUUAUUUUUGAGAGAGACAGAGGCAGAAUGAGAGUGGGUUAGGGGCAGAGAGAGAGGGAGACACAGAAUCCGAAGCAGGCUCCAGGCUUUGGGCUGUCAGCACAGAGCCCGACACAAGGCUUGAACUCGCAGACCGUGAGAUCAUGACCUGAGCCGAAGUCGGACAGGCAACCGACUGAGCCACCCAGGCGCCUCUCCUCUUAAGCAUUUUUAAAAAAAUGUUUAUUAAAAUUUUUAAAAAUGUUUGUUCAUUUUUGAGAGACAGAGAGAGGCAGAGCAUGAACAGGAGAGGGAUAGAGGGAGAGGGAGACACAGAAUCGAAAGCAGGCUCCAGGCUUUGAGCUGUCAGCACAGAGCCUGACGCGGGGCUCAAAUCCACAAACCGUGAAAUCAUGACCUGAACUGAAGUUGGAUGCUUAACCCACUGAGCUACCCAGGCGCCCCCACAAAUAUUUACUUUUGAGAGGGAAAGAAAGAGAGUGCACUCAAGAGCACAUGAGCAGGGGAGGGACAAAGAGAGGGACAGACAGAGAAUCCCAAGCAGGCUCUGUGCUGUCAACACAAAGCCCCAUACAGGGCUAGAUCUCACAAAUUGUGAAAUCAUGAUCUGAGCUGAAUUCAAGAGUUGGAUGCUGAGCCACCUAGGUGUCCUUUAAACAUUUUUAUACAACAAAGAACACCGUAGGUAAGCUUGGGCUGUAUUUUUCUUUUAUUAUACUAUGGCAAACUGCUUUUUCAGGAAAAACGUCCAGUUUUUCCAUGAGAAUUUGAGUAUAAUAAGAUCCUUUAGCCAUCUGAUGUUAAAGAAUAUACUAUUUGAUGCUACAUCUGGAAACAAGUAUGUUCCAGCAGCAGGUAGACAGCUCCAACUGGGUAAAUCAACUUCAUUAAUUACUGGAACAGAGGCAUAUUCUUUUCACAAAGAAUUUUUGAGUACAUGGGGAAGAGACAAUCUGCAACCUGAGUGUAGCUGAGAUCUGUGUCCUCCUUUCCCUUUCUCAAGCAAAUGUUUCUGAUGCAAUUACCUAUGAUGACUCUUGAAGGGAGAGGGGUAAAGGCAGAAUGUCAUAAUUUUAAGGGCAUUCAAUGUUACAGUAUUUAUAUUUAAAAGAUGAAAAAAUAAAGUAACUGCUGCACUAUCAGUGCAAGUAAAGCUUAGAUGUGUAGAAGUCAAACUCCAUUUACUAUAACAAGUAUUCUAUUCUAUUAUUUUAUUUUAUUUUUUUUUACUGUAGCAAGUAUUCUUAAAGGAGGAGGUUAGCUACUAGAGUGCUAGUAUAAAAUCAGAGUGGGGUGAGGAGCAGUGGUGGUGGAAAGGGUUGGGAUAUGUUUAGUGUACCCACAAGGGGGCAGCACACUGACAAAGUCCUGUGAAGCAUGGCCCCAAGUUCCUUGAUCCUUCUAUCCAUGUCUUCCUACCAAUUUCUUAGUAUCUCAUUUUCUGUUAUCAUUGCCUACAUGGAAAGCUGGCCGAAAGUUUUAGGAAGAAGGGAAAGGGAACAUCAUCUAAACUGUCUCAUAACUGCUUUUUACUCAAUAACAGGGGAAAGUCAGAAAAAGCAGGUGAGGAAGAAAGAAACAAAUGGAAGGAAGAGCUAAAAUAGGGUGGAGAAUAUGGACAAAAGGAUGGAAUCGUUCUCAUUUCCCCAUUCCUAUUAAUCCUCCCUUCAUGACUGACCAAAAAAGUUAUGUAUUUAUUCAUUUUAUAAAUAGAAUCUGGAUGAGGUACAUGGAGUAUAUCCAGUUAGGAUUAUUGUACAUUCACAGGUUAUCUUAAAAUUCACAAAAAUGACAAAUAAACCUAGCCUGGUCUUAUUAAAUGUGGUCUGUGAAUAGUCUACUAAUUGGGUUGUAAAAGCACAAGCAAAUGAUAAUAGUGUACUCCAAAAUGAAACAAAAAGCAGAAGAUAAUUCUGCUAUAUAAUUAGUAUAGCUUUUGUUGUUUUUAAAAACACUUUAGUACAGAACUCAUCCUCAAAAUGUGGUUAAUCAGAAGCCAAAUUAUACUGCUCAAGUUAUGGGGGACCAGAAGUCAAGAUUUUUGGAUUGAUUGUAUAAUAUGCAGAUCUUCAGAAUUACAGGGUAAGUCAUUUUUAUUUUUCAUUUGUUAUAACCAUUCUGAUAUCAGAAAUGAAUUUACCUCUGAAGCAACUCAGAAACCACACUUGGUUCUAUUUUUCAUGGACAGUGAUAGCAACUGAGAGAAUUUUAAUCAAUAAAAAACUUUCUUUUGACUAGCUCCCAAGAGGCAGGAGAAAGACUACAUUUUGCUGCUGGCCUUAAGUUAUUCUAACAAUGUAUUUGAGCUAGGAGAACAAGUGUUGAAAUUUCUCUAUGCUCAAUGUGGGGGUUGAACUCACAACCCGGAGAGUCACAUGUUCCACGCACUGAGCCAGCUAACAAGCACUGGGAUUUUCUGAAGCUCUUUGUCUCUGUAAUUCUCGUUUUGAUUUAUUGAGGAAAUUAUAGGACUUUUCAAUCAUCUGUUUCAUCAGCUGUGGAAGCUACGGUACAAGGGGAAUGAAGUCUGUAUGCAUUUCCUUCCUCACGACCAAAAGUUGGUGGGUGAGUGGGCUGGAAGGCCAAGAAGAAAUCCAUCCUACCCGUAUUUCCCUUUAAUAACAUAUAAAUAAGUGAAUUCUCAAAGGGUCAAUAGGAGAUCAUAAUGUCACUGCAAUGAUUGUAUGGGCUCAUGCUCAACACUAAUGACACCGAUCAAACUGAUUAACGAAUGGCUCAAGGUGAGAAAAAUGUCAGAAGUAAGUAAGAGUUACUACGGGAUUCUUCAGAUAAAGCUAUCUAUGUAGAUGAGACAAUGCUCUUUUAUAUUAAAGAGUAAAAGAAUGUGUAUGUGUGUGACUUAAGGAAGAAAUUUCACGACAGGAGAAGAAUAACUGCUUCUGUUCUGAUGCCAACCACAUCUGGUGACCUCGUGACUAUGGGAGAGCCCAGGUCUUAUGACCACCAUAUCAAGCUCUUGAGGUCUUGCCAAGGAGAAGGAAGAGAAUUUUAAAUGAACACAUCUUCACAGGAACUGAGACUACCUACUCAGAUCACAUCUUCACAGGAACUGAGACUACCUACUGAUAUUAAUGCACAGAUAAAACAAUGCCAUUAAAAUACAAUGAAGUAAUGAAAGUCAUCUUUUCUAUUUAAUGUGAAGAAUAACAGUGUCCUGGUAAUAAAACUCCUUCCCAAUUUGAACAUAAUACUGACAAUGAAAUGGUAAUGGCAUACCUAGGAGAUACCGUGAGUUCAGUUCCUGACUACUACAAUUAAGUGAAUUAUGCAAUCAAGCGAGUCAAAUGAAUUUUUUGGGUUCCCAUUGCAUGUACAAGUUAUGUUUGCACUAUGCUGCUAUUAAAUGUGCAAAGGCAUU
Long non-coding RNA from Acinonyx jubatus (cheetah), 10701 nucleotides. RefSeq lists it as uncharacterized. NCBI's taxonomy places the organism in Eukaryota, Metazoa, Chordata, Mammalia, Carnivora, Felidae. The record is from RefSeq and is a predicted model, not a curated record. The transcript is spliced from 7 exons.